CCUUGUAACUGUUGUUCGUGUCCUUUCGUUGAUCUCAUUCAAAUCAGACCCAAGGUUUUAUUAAUAAAUGCAGAAUAUGGUUUUUAUUUUGAGAUUCAUGUGACGACAACUGCAAUAUACAACUUGACUUUUCUUUCACCUGUAAUGUCAUUUUGUUUGGUUUCUUUUCA
Thalassophryne amazonica is the source of this 170-nucleotide long non-coding RNA. RefSeq lists it as uncharacterized. The record is from RefSeq and is a predicted model, not a curated record. NCBI's taxonomy places the organism in Eukaryota, Metazoa, Chordata, Actinopteri, Batrachoidiformes, Batrachoididae. The transcript is spliced from 3 exons.